UACGUAGGGUGCAAGCGUUGUUCGGAAUUACUGGGCGUAAAGGGCGCGUAGGCGGCCUGCUAAGUCGAACGUGAAAUCCCUGGGCUCAACCCAGGAACUGCGUCCGACACUGGCAGGCUUGAAUCCGGGAGAGGGAUGCGGAAUUCCAGGUGUAGCGGUGAAAUUCGUAGAUAUCGGGAGGAACACCGGUGGCGAAGGCGGCGACCUGGGUAGAUACUGACGCUGAGGUGCGAAAGCGUGGGGAGCAAACAGG
Molecule: ribosomal RNA, 253 nt
Filed under: uncultured bacterium
Lineage: Bacteria
Description: partial 16S ribosomal RNA
Rfam family: Bacterial small subunit ribosomal RNA
Source: RNAcentral